RNAcentral lists this ribosomal RNA (1964 nucleotides) under freshwater bacterium LH6-2. Its description in RNAcentral is "bacterial LSU rRNA". It matches the Rfam family "Bacterial large subunit ribosomal RNA", at positions 3 to 1999 of the family's 2925-position model. The record is from RNAcentral.
UCAAGCUACUAAGGGCGUGCGUGUGGAUGCCUUGGCUCAAUCAGGCGAUGAAGGACGUGGCAAGCUGCGAUAAGCCUCGGGGAGAAGUAAGCAUUCUAUGAUCCGGGGAUUUCCGAAUGGGGGAACCCAACUGGUGUGAACACCAGUUACAGUACAGUGAAUACAUAGCUGUAUUGAGCGAACGUGGGGAAGUGAACCAUCUCAGUACCCAUAGGAAGAGAAAACAACAGUGAUUCCGUUAGUAGUGGCGAGCGAACGCGGAACAGCCUAAACCGGUCGAUCUUCGGAGAGACCGGGGUUGCAGGGCCUCAAUAUCAAGAGGUCAUUCACCUACGGUGAGUGGCGUCUUGGUAAAUGAAUGAUAAGAAAGUGAUAACUGAACGGUCUUGAAAGGCCGGCCAUAGAGGGUGACAGCCCCGUAUGUAAAAUUGCAAUCUUCGUUCUAGAGGUUCCUAAGUAGCGCGAGGCACGAGAAACCUUGCGUGAAUCCGCCGGGACCAUCCGGCAAGGCUAAAUACUCGAUUGAGACCGAUAGUGAACCAGUACCGUGAGGGAAAGGCGAAAAGAACCCCUGCGAGGGGAGUGAAAUAGUACCUGAAACCGCAUGCCUACAAGCAGUUGGAGGACAUUAAAGUCUGACAUCGUGCCUAUUGAAUAAUGAGCUGGCUAGUUAAUCUCAGUGGCAAGGUUAAGCGUAAGCGAGCCGAAGCGAAAGCGAGUCUGAACAGGGCGUUCAGUCGCUGGGAUUAGACGCGAAGCGGGAUGAUCUACCCUUGGCCAGGAUGAAGGCCGUGUAACAGCGGCUGGAGGUCCGAACCAGUGUUGGUUGAAAACAGCUUGGAUGAGCUGAGGGUAGGGGUGAAAGGCUAAUCAAAUUCCGUGAUAGCUCGUUCUCUCCGAAAUAGCUUUAGGGCUAGCGUUGGUUGUACCGUCUCGGCGGUAGAGACAUGGAUGGACUAGGGGCCUUUCCAGGUUACCGAAUCCAAUCAAACUUCGAAUUCCGAGAAUGAAUUAACCAGCAGUCAGACGGCGCGGGCUAAGCUGCGUCGUCGAAAGGGGAAGAGCCCAGACCAUCAACUAAGGCCCCCAAAUUCCAGCUAAGUGGGAAAGGAAGUCGGGUUGCAGUGACAGCCAGGAGGUUGGCUUAGAAGCAGCCAUCCUUUAAAGAAAGCGUAAUAGCUCACUGGUCGAGCGACCCGGUGCCGACAAUCCAACGGGGCUAAAGCUGGAUGCCGAAGUUAUGGGUGCACAGCAAUGUGCGCGGUAGGAGAGCGUUCCUAAUGCAGUGAAGGUAGACCGUGAGGACUGCUGAAGCGUUAGGAAGUGACUCUGCCAGCAUAAGUAGCGAAAAACGAAGUGAGAACCUUCGUCGCCGUAAGUCUAAGGUUUCCUGAGAAAGGUUAAUCCGCUCAGGGUUAGUCGGAGCCUAAGGUGAGGCCGAAAGGCGUAGCUGAUGGACAACAGGUUUAUAUUCCUGUACUUCUUUUAGUUUCGAUGCGGGGACGCUGGAUGGAGCUCUGUGAGGUAAUGGUUUCCGUAACAGGGUGAAGUCAGAGGGGGAUAGGCAAAUCCGCCCCUUCGUCAGCCGGGAAAAUCCGCUAAGGCUAGGCUAAGAGAAUCCGUACCACAAACCGACACAGGUGGACGUGUUGAAUAUACUCAGGCGCUCGGGCGAUGAGUUGUUUAGGAACUAGGCAAAUUGACCCCGUAACUUCGGGAGAAGGGGUGCCCCCCUCGGGGGGCCGCAGUGAAACGCGUCAGGCGACUGUUUAACAAAAACACAGGUCUCUGCAAAGUCUAAAACGACGUAUAGGGGCUGACGCCUGCCCGGUGCUGGAAGGUUAAAGGGAGUGGUUAGCGCAAGCGAAGCUAUGAACUGAAGCCCCAGUGAACGGCGGCCGUAACUAUAACGGUCCUAAGGUAGCGAAAUUCCUUGUCGGGUAAGUUCCGACCUGCACGAAUGG